GAUGAACGCUAGCGGGAGGCCUAACACAUGCAAGCCGAGCGGUAUUUGUUCUUCGGAACAGAGAGAGCGGCGCACGGGUGCGGAACACGUGUGCAACCUGCCUUUAUCUGGGGGAUAGCCUUUCGAAAGGAAGAUUAAUACCCCAUAAUAUAUUGAGUGGCAUCACUUGAUAUUGAAAACUCCGGUGGAUAGAGAUGGGCACGCGCAAGAUUAGAUAGUUGGUGAGGUAACGGCUCACCAAGUCAAUGAUCUUUAGGGGGCCUGAGAGGGUGAUCCCCCACACUGGUACUGAGACACCGACCAGACUCCUACGGGAGGCAGCAGUGAGGAAUAUUGGACAAUGGGUUAGCGCCUGAUCCAGCCAUCCCGCGUGAAGGACGACGGCCCUAUGGGUUGUAAACUUCUUUUGUAUAGGGAUAAACCUACUCUCGUGAGAGUAGCUGAAGGUACUAUACGAAUAAGCACCGGCUAACUCCGUG
RNAcentral lists this ribosomal RNA (479 nucleotides) under uncultured bacterium. RNAcentral's name for it is "partial 16S ribosomal RNA". It matches the Rfam family "Bacterial small subunit ribosomal RNA", at positions 28 to 507 of the family's 1533-position model. The record is from RNAcentral.